AUUGAACGCUGGCGGCAGGCCUAACACAUGCAAGUCGAACGGUAACAGGAAGAAGCUUGCUUCUUUGCUGACGAGUGGCGGUCGGGUGAGUAAUGUCUGGGAAACUGCCUGAUGGAGGGGGAUAACUACUGGAAACGGUAGCUAAUACCGCAUAACGUCGCAAGACCAAAGAGGGGGACCUUCGGGCCUCUUGCCAUCGGAUGUGCCCAGAUGGGAUUAGCUAGUAGGUGGGGUAACGGCUCACCUAGGCGACGAUCCCUAGCUGGUCUGAGAGGAUGACCAGCCACACUGGAACUGAGACACGGUCCAGACUCCUACGGGAGGCAGCAGUGGGGAAUAUUGCACAAUGGGCGCAAGCCUGAUGCAGCCAUGCCGCGUGUAUGAAGAAGGCCUUCGGGUUGUAAAGUACUUUCAGCGGGGAGGAAGGGAGUAAAGUUAAUACCUUUGCUCAUUGACGUUACCCGCAGAAGAAGCACCGGCUAACUCCGUG
Molecule: ribosomal RNA, 490 nt
Filed under: uncultured bacterium
Lineage: Bacteria
Description: partial 16S ribosomal RNA
Rfam family: Bacterial small subunit ribosomal RNA
Source: RNAcentral